CUUUACCUACGGGGGGCAGCAGUCGGGAAUAUUGCGCAAUGGAGGAAACUCUGACGCAGUGACGCCGCGUGCAGGAAGAAGGUUUUCGGAUUGUAAACUGCUUUAGACAGGGAAGAAAAAAGACAGUACCUGUAGAAUAAGCUCCGGCUAACUACGUGCCAGCAGCCGCGGUAAUACGUAGGUGGCAAGCGUUGUUCGGAAUAACUGGGCGUAAAGGAUGCGUAGGCGGUUAAACAAGUUAUAUGUUAAAUAUAUAGGCUUAACCUGUAGAAAGCAUAUAAAACUGUUUAACUAGAGUGCAGGAG
Molecule: ribosomal RNA, 305 nt
Filed under: uncultured bacterium
Lineage: Bacteria
Description: bacterial SSU rRNA
Rfam family: Bacterial small subunit ribosomal RNA
Source: RNAcentral